UACAGCUUCCAAUAGCCACCUCAACUUUGCCUUUAUUUUCCAGCUGUGGUUGAGUUUAGCUUUGUCUGGUACGGUUUUUGUGUCUGUUCAGUUUUAUUCAAAUGAAAUUUUCGUUUACCGACCGCUCUAAUUGGAUUAUCUACGAACUCAAUUAUGCGCAUUACACAUGAGGGGCUAGUUGAACACAUUGAACAGGCAUGAACGCAAUGCGAAUUGAUUUUAUCCGUCAACCACUAACUCAAUUGACUUGACCCGACGACGUUGUCGGCCUUUUUGCCGCCACUUUGCAUUCUCGAUUGGGAGCAUUGCGAUUCGACUCGGCUCUACUGGUCCUGGCCUAUUGACAUUCCCAUUGCGAUUUGUUUUCAGCUCACUUGACAGGUAAUGGCAGCCCACUGGAACUUCUCUGCCAUCCGCCGGAGGUGCACUGUAAAGAAAACUUAUAAAAAGUGGUAGUGAAUUCUGGAAUACACACUUAAUACUCUAAAUCUCAGAUUACGAUACUUACGAAACUUAAUCUACCUAUCUUAUCAAAACAAUUAAACGUUUUUAU
Drosophila rhopaloa is the source of this 553-nucleotide long non-coding RNA. RefSeq lists it as uncharacterized. The transcript has 3 exons. NCBI's taxonomy places the organism in Eukaryota, Metazoa, Arthropoda, Insecta, Diptera, Drosophilidae. The record is from RefSeq and is a predicted model, not a curated record.